Bufo bufo (common toad) is the source of this 208-nucleotide long non-coding RNA. RefSeq lists it as uncharacterized. Lineage: Eukaryota; Metazoa; Chordata; Amphibia; Anura; Bufonidae. The record is from RefSeq and is a predicted model, not a curated record. The transcript has 4 exons.
GGCAGGCACAGCACUUGUUAGUAUUGCACAUAAAACAUGCCCCCAUAAAAAAAUGCCACAGGUAACCAGUGACAUGUUUUGUGGGGGCAUCUUUUAUGUGCAAUAAUACAUAUCGUCCAAUACAGACAUCCAAAUUUCAUGUUAGUGCAAAAUCCAUUUUAUUGAUAAGUGCUUUUGGGGCCGUCGUCCAAUCCACAAGCGCGCCCGG